CCUACGGGAGGCAGCAGUGGGGAAUAUUGGGCAAUGGGCGCAAGCCUGACCCAGCAACGCCGCGUGAAGGAAGAAGGCUUUCGGGUUGUAAACUUCUUUUGACAGGGAAGAGUAGAAGACGGUACCUGUCGAAUAAGCCACGGCUAACUACGUGCCAGCAGCCGCGGUAAUACGUAGGUGGCAAGCGUUGUCCGGAUUUACUGGGUGUAAAGGGCGUGUAGCCGGGUUGACAAGUCAGAUGUGAAAUCCUGCGGCUUAACCGCAGAACUGCAUUUGAAACUGUUGGUCUUGAGUACUGGAGAGGCAGACGGAAUUCCUAGUGUAGCGGUGAAAUGCGUAGAUAUUAGGAGGAACACCAGUGGCGAAGGCAGUCUGCUAGACAGCAACUGACGGUGAGGCGCGAAAGCGUGGGGAGCAAACAGGAUUAGAUACCCUAGUAGUC
This 442-nucleotide ribosomal RNA is filed under the name uncultured bacterium. Its description in RNAcentral is "partial 16S ribosomal RNA". It matches the Rfam family "Bacterial small subunit ribosomal RNA", at positions 338 to 795 of the family's 1533-position model. The record is from RNAcentral.